UAGGGAAUCUUCGGCAAUGGACGAAAGUCUGACCGAGCAACGCCGCGGGAGUGAAGAAGGUUUUCGGAGCGUAAAACUCUGUUGUUAGAGAAGAACAAGGACGUUAGUAACUGAACGUCCCCUGACGGUAUCUAACCAGAAAGCCACGGCUAACUACGUGCCAGCAGCAGCGGUAAUACGUAGGUGGCAAGCGUUGUCCGGAUUGAUUGGGCGUAAAGCGAGCGCAGGCGGUUUCUUAAGUCUGAUGUGAAAGCCCCCGGCUCAACCGGGGAGGGUCAUUGGAAACUGGGAGACUUGAGUGCAGAAGAGGAGAGUGGAAUUCCAUGUGUAGCGGUGAAAUGCGUAGAUAUAUGGAGGAACACCAGUGGCGAAGGCGGCUCUCUGGUCUGUAACUGACGCUGAGGCUCGAAAGCGUGGGGAGCAAACAGG
This 429-nucleotide ribosomal RNA is filed under the name Gemmatimonadota bacterium. RNAcentral's name for it is "Gemmatimonadetes bacterium partial 16S ribosomal RNA". It matches the Rfam family "Bacterial small subunit ribosomal RNA", at positions 355 to 776 of the family's 1533-position model. The record is from RNAcentral. Lineage: Bacteria; Pseudomonadati; Gemmatimonadota.